This 71-nucleotide transfer RNA is filed under the name Camelus bactrianus (Bactrian camel). It matches the Rfam family "tRNA". Rfam says of the family: Transfer RNA (tRNA) molecules are approximately 80 nucleotides in length. Their secondary structure includes four short double-helical elements and three loops (D, anti-codon, and T loops). Further hydrogen bonds mediate the characteristic L-shaped molecular structure. tRNAs have two regions of fundamental functional importance: the anti-codon, which is responsible for specific mRNA codon recognition, and the 3' end, to which the tRNAs corresponding amino acid is attached (by aminoacyl-tRNA synthetases). tRNAs cope with the degeneracy of the genetic code in two manners: having more than one tRNA (with a specific anti-codon) for a particular amino acid; and 'wobble' base-pairing, i.e. permitting non-standard base-pairing at the 3rd anti-codon position. The record is from Rfam by way of RNAcentral. RNAcentral also lists the same sequence under 2 other names. Lineage: Eukaryota; Metazoa; Chordata; Mammalia; Artiodactyla; Camelidae.
GAGGGCAUGGCUCAGUGCUAGAGUGUGUGCUUAGCAUGCACGAGGUCCUGGGUUCAAUCCCCAGGACCUCC